RNAcentral lists this ribosomal RNA (492 nucleotides) under uncultured bacterium. RNAcentral's name for it is "partial 16S ribosomal RNA". It matches the Rfam family "Bacterial small subunit ribosomal RNA", at positions 29 to 507 of the family's 1533-position model. The record is from RNAcentral.
AGUGAACGCUGGCGGUAGGCCUAACACAUGCAAGUCGAACGGCAGCAUAGUAAGAGCUUGCUCUUACGGGUGGCGAGUGGCGGACGGGUGAGGAAUACAUCGGAAUCUACUUUUUCGUGGGGGAUAACGUAGGGGAACUUACGCUAAUACCGCAUACGACCUACGGGUGAAAGCAGGGGAUCUUCGGACCUUGCGCGAUUGAAUGAGCCGAUGUCGGAUUAGCUAGUUGGCGGGGUAAAGGCCCACCAAGGCGACGAUCCGUAGCUGGUCUGAGAGGAUGAUCAGCCACACUGGAACUGAGACACGGUCCAGACUCCUACGGGAGGCAGCAGUGGGGAAUAUUGGACAAUGGGCGCAAGCCUGAUCCAGCCAUACCGCGUGGGUGAAGAAGGCCUUCGGGUUGUAAAGCCCUUUUGUUGGGAAAGAAAAGCAGCAGGUUAAUACCCCGCUGUUCUGACGGUACCCAAAGAAUAAGCACCGGCUAACUUCGUG